UCAACCCAUUUUACCUUCUAACCCAUCAAAUUAAAUGAGUUCAUGGGUUGACUCAACUCAUUUGCUUAAAUGAGUUGAGUCAACCCAUGAACUCAUUUAACUCUAAACUCAUUGGGUAAUGAGU
RNAcentral lists this microRNA precursor (124 nucleotides) under Arabidopsis suecica. RNAcentral describes it as "MIR405". It matches the Rfam family "MIR405 microRNA precursor family". Lineage: Eukaryota; Viridiplantae; Streptophyta; Magnoliopsida; Brassicales; Brassicaceae. The record is from RNAcentral.